GCCAACGUAGCUCAAUGGUAGAGCACUGGUUUUGUAAACCUGAGGUUGGGGGUUCAAGUCCCCCCGUUGGCU
This 72-nucleotide transfer RNA is filed under the name Phycisphaerae bacterium. RNAcentral describes it as "tRNA-Thr". It matches the Rfam family "tRNA". From Rfam's summary of the family: Transfer RNA (tRNA) molecules are approximately 80 nucleotides in length. Their secondary structure includes four short double-helical elements and three loops (D, anti-codon, and T loops). Lineage: Bacteria; Pseudomonadati; Planctomycetota; Phycisphaerae. The record is from RNAcentral.